AGAGAAGUGCUAUCAGCUACUAAAAGUGAAUACUAAAUGGCCUAUCUAUGUAAGAGAUUCUCAGAGGGAAGCCCAAAGCCCAGGAAGAAAUGAUGGACCAGAAACCACAGGACAUGCUCGAAGACUCGCUGCAUGGUGGAUGGCCCAGAGACGGCGGGGCUCACAGACGGUCACGUUUAGUGCUUGCAGAUUGGUAAUGUCUGUGCCCUUGGCUUUGUUUAUUCUGGUCAUACAAUGAUCAACCAGUUCUCAGUGCUGCCAUCGAGGGCUUUCUGGACAGCAUGGCACCUUCCAUAAGGAGACCUUGGCUUCAGUAGCUAGUCCAGGGUCUAUAUACCUGCAGAGGACUUCUGACCUACAGCAAGUGGGCUCCCUUCUCAUCUUGAAAACCUUCCAGUGUGAACUCUAGAACCAAGGAAGACAGAGAAAGGGGACAAUGUCAGCAUCAUUGCAAGGGAGGAGAGUCUGUGAGAUGAUACCAACCUCUAGAAGCAGGCAUGGUUGUCCUGACAUCGCCACACUACCACAGGAACUUCCAGAAUACAUUCUCUUCAUGGAAACUGUGGAACCGCGCCCCCUCUGGUCCAGGAGGACUAACCAGAUUCAAGGCUAUCAGCAUCCCCCUUCAGGACAGUGGAAGCAGCCACCUUUUCGAGAGAGUCGAUGUGUUCUUCACCAGUGUUCUUCGCCAGUGAUCAUGUGUGAUACUUGGAGAGAGGCUGGCCGUGAUGAAUUCGAUUCAUCUAAACGAGUCAUACACGGCUCUCCUCUCUUCUAG
Molecule: long non-coding RNA, 778 nt
Filed under: Mus spicilegus (steppe mouse)
Lineage: Eukaryota; Metazoa; Chordata; Mammalia; Rodentia; Muridae
Source: RNAcentral